GGGAUUCUAUCAUUUUCCAAGACAGUGUGUGAAGAACACUAAAGAGCACACACACACACACACACACACACACACACACACACACACACACACACACACACACACACACGCGCGCGCGCGCCACUUUUUCACUCCUAAAAUAUCUCACUGACACAAGAAUAGCGUUUGAAUAUUUGGCUUCUGAGUGUUUAAUGUUUUAAUGUUUAUCUUCUGAGUGUUUAGUGUUUAGUUGUUUAGUUCUGCGUGUUUAGUGUUGAAGUGUUUAGUGUUGAAGUGUUUAGUUUCUGAGUGUUUAGUGUUGAAGUGUUUAGUUCUGCGUGUUUAGUGUUGAAGUGUUUAGUGUUGAAGUGUUUAGUUCUGCGUGUUUAGUGUUGAAGUGUUUAGUUCUGCGUGUUUAGUGUUGAAGUGUUUAGUUCUGAGUGUUUAGUGUUGAACUCUUAGCAUCUGAUUGUUUAG
Molecule: long non-coding RNA, 456 nt
Organism: Ictalurus punctatus (channel catfish)
Lineage: Eukaryota; Metazoa; Chordata; Actinopteri; Siluriformes; Ictaluridae
Source: Ensembl